RNAcentral lists this ribosomal RNA (482 nucleotides) under uncultured bacterium. RNAcentral describes it as "partial 16S ribosomal RNA". It matches the Rfam family "Bacterial small subunit ribosomal RNA", at positions 28 to 523 of the family's 1533-position model. The record is from RNAcentral.
GAUGAACGCUGGCGGCGUGCUUAACACAUGCAAGUCGAACGGUGAAGCCAAGCUUGCUUGGUGGAUCAGUGGCGAACGGGUAAGUAACACGUGAGCAACCUGCCCUGGACUCUGGGAUAAGCGCUGGAAACGGCGUCUAAUACUGGAUAUGAGACGUGAUCGCAUGGUCGUGUUUGGAAAGAUUUUUCGGUCUGGGAUGGGCUCGCGGCCUAUCAGCUUGUUGGUGAGGUAAUGGCUCACCAAGGCGUCGACGGGUAGCCGGCCUGAGAGGGUGACCGGCCACACUGGGACUGAGACACGGCCCAGACUCCUACGGGAGGCAGCAGUGGGGAAUAUUGCCCAAUGGGCGGAAGCCUGAUGCAGCAACGCCGCGUGAGGGAUGACGGCCUUCGGGUUGUAAACCUCUUUUAGCAGGGAAGAAGCGAAAGUGACGGUACCUGCAGAAAAAGCGCCGGCUAACUACGUGCCAGCCGCCGCCGUAA